This 2681-nucleotide long non-coding RNA is filed under the name Mustela putorius furo (domestic ferret). RNAcentral describes it as "lncRNA (ENSMPUG00000031296.1)". Lineage: Eukaryota; Metazoa; Chordata; Mammalia; Carnivora; Mustelidae. The record is from RNAcentral.
CUCACUGGAGCUGGCUCUGGAGUUGCCUUGGAGGGAUGGGGCCUGGUGCUGGUGCCAGCCAGGCUCCUCGCCCUGUCACCCUCACGGCCACCUGUAUCCAGAAUUCCUCCCCCACUUACAGCUCCGGUCGGCGGUGCUCCUCUGUGGGUGUGCACUUCUGCGUGGAUGUCCCACGGGACCUGACAGCCUGGCCCUCUGCAAAGCCUGGUGUCCUGUGAGCCUGGAAGUUCUCUCUGGCUUAGCAACUGACCGGACUUCCCUACAGCCCAGCUGGAGAGAUCACAGCACUUUUCUCUCCCUUGCCCCCAGGAGGGAGGGAGCGGCUUGUGAUUUGACCCUUGGGAUGUCUCUCAGAUCACCCGCUUCUCUUCACCUCCUCAGCGGCCGUCCUAUCCUGACCCCUGCCACCCCUUGCUGGUUGAUCCCCUGGCCCCUGGCUCUAGCACUCAUCUCCCAUGGGGAGGAAGCCCAGUGAAGCGUUGCUGGGGCUCUCUGCUGAAGCGUGGUCCUUCUGGUGGUCCCUCAGGCUCUGUGGCUGCUGGCCUCCAUCAGUCCUGAGAAGUGUUGCCCCUGGGGACCAAGAGUACCUGCCAGGCCCAUCCGGAUGUCCGAGUUCUUCGCCCUCCUCCAUAUAAUCAUCAUUACCGUGUGCCGUGUAUUUCCCGAGUGCCCAGAGAGAGUAACCUGCAGUAAACAUUCCUUGAACAAACAAAUGAGUGAAGGCAUAAAUGCAUUUAUGCCCUAGGAGAGAGUACCUAGUGUCAUUCUCGUCUCGCAGAUGAAAGUCUGAGCUGUGGCGCAAUUUAGUAAUAACGUAAUCAAAGGACCUGGUACUGGUACGAGGUGGAGUCUGGGCGAAGCCUGUUCUGCCAGCCACCAGAGGCCGCCAGGACCCCUCACUCAGGCGCCCGUGAUCUCUCCCAUCUUUCUUGCCUGUCAGGGGAUUUCCCCUCCUGGCAUCUCAAGUUGGGGGCUGUGUCGACACAGCUACUGGGUUAGUUAGUGCAGACUCUAGUGAGCAACUGGGUAAUUAUUUCCAAAAAUAUUGACUUGUAAUGUGAAGAAAGCUCUUCUCCAUGCCACCCGUCAGCAGAAAAUUGCCUUUGGUAUUAACAUUUCAUCAACCGCAUAAUGUGAAUUGAUGUAAAUGCAUAAUUAGAUAUAAUAGCCUGGGAAAAUUCACUCUUAUUUAUAAAAUUGGGCUUGUUAAAUUAAAAUGGGAGCUAACGAUUUCCAUCUCACUCUUAAAACAUGUCCGAGGUUUUGCCUGCCUUGCUAUGCAGAAGCCCUUUAUCAGUGGGUGCCUGGGCACACGGGCAGCUUUGUAGGGAGACUCCGAAGAAGGGGACCCUCUGAGGAGGCGUGGACGCCACCUGUCCAAAAGGUGGCUCCCUAGUAUCAUAAACGGGUCUCUUAAAAACAUUUUAAUCCACGUGCAACAAAGGACAAGCCCUGAGGAGAGAAGGCUGGGUGACACUAUCCUUAGCCCUCAUUCUUCUUGUAGGACGGGGGCCAGACCCCAUCCUGCCAGAGUCUGAGGAUGUCGUGGGGGAUGGGAAAGGUGCCCGGUGUGCAGUUGCGGUGAACACAGCAAUGGGCUCCGCGAGUGUGGAGAGCUUGCAGAGGGCAGUGGGCAGAGAAACCUCCUCAUCCCCGUUGAUACUUGUCAUUCAUUCAACAACCGCUCAGUUAGCAUCUCUCACCGGUGCCAGCCCCUGUGCCGGGUGCUGGGUAUCCAGAGAUGGAGAAGGUAUGAUUUCCGAUCAUUUGGAGCUCACCCCGUAGGUGGGAGGGCAGGGAUUUAAACAUGUCUUCAUUUUGGUGGCAAGUGACAGAAAAACCAUUCACACCAUGUAAAACAAGGAACAAAUCUAUUGAUUCGCAUAACUCAAAUAGAUUUCAGGCACAGCUUGAUCCAGGGACUCAAAUGAAUCAAUCAGGAUGCUUGUUCUAGCUGUUUCUCUCCCUUUCUCUUCAUGCUAGCCUCAUUCUCUCCACUCUUGCAGAUUGCAGCCACCCCUCCCACCCCCCCACCCCCAUUGCGGGAAUGGGCGAUACUGGCAUGCUGUUCACAUUUAUAGGGAAUAGCUGAUUUUUAAGAAAAAAAACCCUACAACUCUUUCCAAAUGGAGAUAAUUGCUUCCCCCACACCCUGUGCUUACGGGGUAUGUGGGGCUGACUCCACUUCUCAGCUUCGGAGAUGUGAACGUGACUCAGACCUUGCCAGUUGGAACACUCAGACCCCCAUCUGUGGAAACAAGCUCAGGGACGCACAGGGUCCUGGCUAGAUGUAACGUCCAUGCCACAAGGAGGAGUCUGGCCAGAAUCAUCAGGAAGGUAGCAUGCUCUGGUCCUCACGGUGGUGGGCUCUGUGGUAGCCAGAGCCAUCCCUGACCCUUUCGGGAGAAACCAGAGCUGACCCAUAGAAAGAUGAUCUUACGAAGUUGUUGGUGUCCCUGGCUCAGCCAGGCCUGGAGACAGGUGCACCCCCCAUGCUCCUCACUUCCAUGGCCAGUCCCUUCCUUUUCGAUUUGACGCUCUAGGACUCCAGUUUUCCGUCAGCUACGACUGGAAGAGUCCUGGCACUAUCGGUCCAGGUCUUUCUCCCCGACUGAAAAUCACUCCCCAAACAGCGAUUCAUGGUUGUUUUUAAUAAGGCCCAGCCCCCUUCUAGAAGCUCC